This 435-nucleotide ribosomal RNA is filed under the name uncultured bacterium. RNAcentral's name for it is "bacterial SSU rRNA". It matches the Rfam family "Bacterial small subunit ribosomal RNA", at positions 29 to 506 of the family's 1533-position model. The record is from RNAcentral.
ACGAACGCUGGCGGUAUGCUUAACACAUGCAAGUCGAACGGGUGUAGCAAUACAUCAGUGGCAAACGGGUGAGGAAUAUAAAGGAAUCUCCCUAACAGUACGGAAUAACUCUGGGAAACCAGUGCUAAUACCGUAUAUUCCGCUUCGGCGGGAAAGAUUUAUCGCUGUUAGAUGAGCCUUUAUCGGAUUAGCUAGUUGGUAGGGUAAAGGCCUACCAAGGCGAUGAUCCGUAGCUGGUCUGGGAGGAUGAUCAGCCACACUGGAACUGAGACACGGUCCAGACUCCUACGGGAGGCAGCAGUGGGGAAUAUUGGACAAUGGGCGCAAGCCUGAUCCAGCAAUACCGCGUGAGUGAUGAAGGCCUUCGGGUUGUAAAGCUCUUUUAGGAGGGAAGAUAAUGACGGUACCUACAGAAAAAGCACCGGCAAACUUCGU